This 270-nucleotide unclassified non-coding RNA is filed under the name Hevea brasiliensis (rubber tree). Lineage: Eukaryota; Viridiplantae; Streptophyta; Magnoliopsida; Malpighiales; Euphorbiaceae. The record is from RNAcentral.
GGCCAUCCAUCCAUUCUAAGUUGACGAGUGACCUUGUCACAGUCCUUUUUAGUUUGGAAAAAUAUCAAGAUUCUGCUUCCAUCCAUUAGAUCAGAUAAAAGUUUACUGAGUCUGGGAUACUUUUCGUGUUCAGAUAUGACCUCAAUAAUUUGCUGUAUGGAAUGAUUAGCUUUCAGAUCAGGUGAUCCUAUGAUUACCUUGUAUGGGUUCUGCAGAAAUUGUCUAGCCAAGGAUUCUACUUCUCUUGGCCAAGUGGCACUCCAAUACAAG